UGCAGUCGAACGAUGAACCGGUUUCGGCCGGGGAUUAGUGGCGAACGGGUGAGUAACACGUGGGCAAUCUGCCCUGCACUCUGGGACAAGCCCUGGAAACGGGGUCUAAUACCGGAUAUGACACGCUCCCGCAUGGGAUGCGUGUGGAAAGCUCCGGCGGUGCAGGAUGAGCCCGCGGCCUAUCAGCUUGUUGGUGGGGUGAUGGCCUACCAAGGCGACGACGGGUAGCCGGCCUGAGAGGGCGACCGGCCACACUGGGACUGAGACACGGCCCAGACUCCUACGGGAGGCAGCAGUGGGGAAUAUUGCACAAUGGGCGAAAGCCUGAUGCAGCGACGCCGCGUGAGGGAUGACGGCCUUCGGGUUGUAAACCUCUUUCAGCAGGGAAGAAGCGAGAGUGACGGUACCUGCAGAAGAAGCGCCGGCUAACUACGUGCCAGCAGCCGCGGUAAUACGUAGGGCGCAAGCGUUGUCCGGAAUUAUUGGGCGUAAAGAGCUCGUAGGCGGCUUGUCGCGUCGGAUGUGAAAGCCCGGGGCUUAACUCCGGGUCUGCAUUCGAUACGGGCAGGCUAGAGUUCGGUAGGGGAGAUCGGAAUUCCUGGUGUAGCGGUGAAAUGCGCAGAUAUCAGGAGGAACACCGGUGGCGAAGGCGGAUCUCUGGGCCGAUACUGACGCUGAGGAGCGAAAGCGUGGGGAGCGAACAGGAUUAGAUACCCUGGUAGUCCACGCCGUAAACGUUGGGAACUAGGUGUGGGCGACAUUCCACGUCGUCCGCGCCGCAGCUAACGCAUUAAGUUCCCCGCCUGGGGAGUACGGCCGCAAGGCUAAAACUCAAAGGAAUUGAC
RNAcentral lists this ribosomal RNA (845 nucleotides) under Streptomyces sp. Its description in RNAcentral is "bacterial SSU rRNA". It matches the Rfam family "Bacterial small subunit ribosomal RNA", at positions 56 to 914 of the family's 1533-position model. The record is from RNAcentral. Lineage: Bacteria; Bacillati; Actinomycetota; Actinomycetes; Kitasatosporales; Streptomycetaceae.